This 514-nucleotide ribosomal RNA is filed under the name uncultured bacterium. RNAcentral describes it as "partial 16S ribosomal RNA". It matches the Rfam family "Bacterial small subunit ribosomal RNA", at positions 28 to 523 of the family's 1533-position model. The record is from RNAcentral.
GACGAACGCUGGCGGCGUGCCUAAUACAUGCAAGUCGAACGCUUCCUACCGGUGCUUGCACCGGGAAAGAAGAGUGGCGGACGGGUGAGUAACACGUGGUAACCUACCUACAAGCGGGGGAUAACAUUCGGAAACGGAUGCUAAUACCGCAUAGAUCUUUUUGUCUCCUGGCAGCAAGAAGAAAGACGGUUUCGGCUGUCACUUGUAGGUGGACCCGCGGCGCAUUAGUUAGUUGGUGAGGUAAUGGCUCACCAAGACGAUGAUGCGUAAGCGACGUGGGAGGGUGAUAGGCCACAAGGGGAAUGAGACACGGCCCAGACUCCUACGGGAGGCAGCAGUAGGGAAUCUUCCGCAAUGGACGAAAGUCUGACGGAGCAACGCCGCGUGAGUGAAGAAGGUUUUCGGAUCGUAAAACUCUGUUGUUAGAGAAGAACAAGGAUGAGAGUAACUGCUCGUCCCUUGACGGUAUCUAACCAGAAAGCCAUGGCUAACUACGUGCCAGCCGCCGCAGUAA